RNAcentral lists this ribosomal RNA (502 nucleotides) under uncultured bacterium. RNAcentral describes it as "partial 16S ribosomal RNA". It matches the Rfam family "Bacterial small subunit ribosomal RNA", at positions 28 to 507 of the family's 1533-position model. The record is from RNAcentral.
GACGAACGCUGGCGGCGUGCCUAAUACAUGCAAGUCGAACGAACCGCGACUAGGUGCUUGCACUUGGUCAAGGUGAGUGGCGAACGGGUGAGUAACACGUGGGUAACCUACCUCAUAGUGGGGGAUAACAGUCGGAAACGACUGCUAAUACCGCAUAGGACAUAGGAUCACAUGAUUCUGUGAGGAAAGGUGGCGCAAGCUAUCGCUAAGAGAUGGACCCGCGGUGCAUUAGCUAGUUGGUAGGGUAAAGGCCUACCAAGGCGAUGAUGCAUAGCCGACCUGAGAGGGUGAGCGGCCACAUUGGGACUGAGACACGGCCCAAACUCCUACGGGAGGCAGCAGUAGGGAAUCUUCCGCAAUGGACGCAAGUCUGACGGAGCAACGCCGCGUGAGUGAAGAAGGUCUUCGGAUCGUAAAGCUCUGUUGUUAGAGAAGAACAGCGCAUAGAGUAACUGUUAUGCGUGUGACGGUAUCUAACCAGAAAGCCACGGCUAACUACGUG